This 448-nucleotide ribosomal RNA is filed under the name uncultured bacterium. RNAcentral's name for it is "bacterial SSU rRNA". It matches the Rfam family "Bacterial small subunit ribosomal RNA", at positions 330 to 792 of the family's 1533-position model. The record is from RNAcentral.
CCCAGACUCCUACGGGAGGCAGCAGUGGGGAAUAUUGGGCAAUGGGCGCAAGCCUGACCCAGCAACGCCGCGUGAAGGAAGAAGGCCCUCGGGUUGUAAACUUCUUUUGUCAGGGACGAAGAAAGUGACGGUACCUGACGAAUAAGCCACGGCUAACUACGUGCCAGCAGCCGCGGUAAUACGUAGGUGGCAAGCGUUAUCCGGAUUUACUGGGUGUAAAGGGCGUGUAGGCGGGACUGCAAGUCAGAUGUGAAAUUCCAGGGCUCAACCCUGGAACUGCAUUUGAAACUGUAGUUCUUGAGUGAUGGAGAGGCAGGCGGAAUUCCGUGUGUAGCGGUGAAAUGCGUAGAUAUUAGGAGGAACAUCGGUGGCGAAGGCGGCUUACUGGGCUUUUACUGACGCUGAGGCUCGAAAGCGUGGGGAGCAAACAGGAUUAGAUACCCGAGUA